This is a long non-coding RNA of Tribolium castaneum (red flour beetle), 2146 nucleotides long. RefSeq lists it as uncharacterized. The record is from RefSeq and is a predicted model, not a curated record. Lineage: Eukaryota; Metazoa; Arthropoda; Insecta; Coleoptera; Tenebrionidae. The transcript is spliced from 2 exons.
UUUUUGUGAACCUUUUUCCUGUGUACAUUUUUCGUGUAUACUUUUUUCUGGUCACCGUUUUUGAGUAAAUAUUCGAAAAAAAAACUUUAUGACGUCUCAGUAAGUUUUAAAUGUCAAAAAAAAUUCAACAGGCGUAAGCAAAAGACAACAUUAUAUUGUUAUUCGGAAGUAAAAUUACCGUUGGGGGCGCCACUGAGCUAGGUCAAAAACAGUAACCAUAAAUGGAGGGAAAAUGUUUAUUCGGAUAUUUUGAGCGUUGUACGAAUUUUGGGGCUUCACAAUUAUUACAUUGCCUAUGCGGAAUGAUUAUUGCAUCUUUGAUGCAAGAAACUUAUGUUGACAAAUGAGAGAUGACGAGGAAAACACGAAUAACGAAUGACUGUUUGGUUCACUUUCUUUAUUGGAAAAUUAUUACAAAGACAUUGAAAAGCCUACCUUUUGGCAUAAUUUACGUUUAAAUGUAUCAGCAGUUGUUAAUCUUUAUUGUAGUUUUGCAGAUUUACCGCAUUUCAUGAUUUUUUCAGUGGAAAAUUCUAACCUAAAAUUCAUAACACUUCACUAAUUUAUUGGUUUCUUGAGCCAAACUUUGUGUUCGCUGUGAUCCAUUACUUAUAAUCUUUAAUUAGACAACUGUUUGAUAACACUUUGUAAUCAAAAUUUAAAUAUUUUUCACUUUUUAUCCACUUUCAAGUUCCAACAAUAAACACUUUAUACCACGAAAAACUACAGAACCAAAGUCAACGCUAGUAUUUACCACCACGUACUUUUAAAGUAAUUCUUUCUAUUGUAAAUAAUUAACACUAUACACGCAAAAUUGUUGAACAAUUCAUUAAAUGUCAGUUAAAUGUGGCAUUACGAAAAUUUCUUUACUGUUUUCGACAUAGUUCAAAAGUCAUCACCAGAGGGCGUCUAGUUAAUUUUAUUUCCGAAUACAGAAAAAUUAUACAGUUAUUACACAGAAAAAUGGGAAUUUAUUUUUUCUUUUUAUGUUACCGACCAAACAAAUAUGUAAGUACAGUUGUACAGUUCAUUUUUUUAAACAAUGAACUCCCAAUAAUAAAUUAAGUUCAUGUCCAAGUACUUUCGAAACUAUAUCCCAUUUCAGUUCAUAGUAGAAUUUUGCAACAGUGCAUUUGAAUUUUUUGGAGUGAAAUAAAGUACAAAUUGAAAGUUUCUGUAUACGAAAAAAAAUCUAUGUUAAACUAAAACUUAUUAAAAACUCCCAAUUUGUGCUCCAUUUCACUCCAAAAAAUUGUUGCAAAAUUCUAUUGCGACCUGAAAUGGGCAUUAACUGUAUUUUGUGUUUGACAUUUUGUACACCGUAUUUGACAAUCGAAACGGUCAUUGAAAUUUAAAUUCUUUAAUGGUUGAAAUAACUCCAUGUGUAUACUUGAAGACAACAUAAAAAUUUGUAGAAAUUAUUAAAAUGAAUCUACCAGAUUAUAAAAAAAUCGACUAAAGGUGCUAAAACUAUGGUGUGGAUUGUGGAUUGCUCCAGCAUGAAAACACCUUAAAAAUUGUUUAAAGUAAAAGAAUGAACCUUAUUACCUUUCAUGCUGAGCUCCUCCUCGAGUUCUCGCCAGUUGUUUGGGUCCUGGAUGUACUUGAGCAUUUCCUCGUAGCCGAUGAGGAAGUCUUUCGGGUCCCGGUCGGCGUACAAAAGGAGAUCAGCGAGGAUUUGGCGGCCGGCGUCAGCGAACCAAAUAUAAUUCGACCUGUCACGCAAAAUAUACUGAAAAGCGAGCCGAAGGCAGUGCAGCUUUGCCAGGUAUUCUCCAUCGGAGCCACAUUUCACCAGUUCGGUGCGUAGCGUCCGGCAGGGGAUGCCCCCGUUUUCGAGGUGGCGCAGCGCCGCCUGGUACAAGGGGAACUGCUCCAAGUCGGGGAAGUAGUCGGAAAAUUCCUCAAAUUCCCGCAAGUCGGCUACCUACAACAUUUACAGAAAAAAAGUGUUUUUCUGUUUUUAUUUUGAGACUUACAACAUCCUGAGCUGAGGCAAAACUCUCCCCUCCUGAUAAAUCAGCAUCGAUUCCAUUUUCUGAAAGAUGGGUCCCACUUUCAGGCCUGAACAACACCGACCUUUGGUCCAAAAACAACAUUUCUGCUUUAUCUUGUAGUUCUAUAGCCACGUCCAAUAAAUGUUGAA